AGUGAACGCUGGCGGUAGGCCUAACACAUGCAAGUCGAACGGCAGCACAGUAAGAGCUUGCUCUUACGGGUGGCGAGUGGCGGACGGGUGAGGAAUACAUCGGAAUCUACUUUUUCGUGGGGGAUAACGUAGGGAAACUUACGCUAAUACCGCAUACGACCUACGGGUGAAAGCAGGGGAUCUUCGGACCUUGCGCGAUUGAAUGAGCCGAUGUCGGACUAGCUAGUUGGCGGGGUAAAGGCCCACCAAGGCGACGAUCCGUAGCUGGUCUGAGAGGAUGAUCAGCUACACUGGAACUGAGACACGGUCCAGACUCCUACGGGAGGCAGCAGUGGGGAAUAUUGGACAAUGGGCGCAAGCCUGAUCCAGCCAUACCGCGUGGGUGAAGAAGGCCUUCGGGUUGUAAAGCCCUUUUGUUGGGAAAGAAAAGCAGCAGGUUAAUACCCCGCUGUUCUGACGGUACCCAAAGAAUAAGCACCGGCUAACUUCGUG
This 492-nucleotide ribosomal RNA is filed under the name uncultured bacterium. RNAcentral describes it as "partial 16S ribosomal RNA". It matches the Rfam family "Bacterial small subunit ribosomal RNA", at positions 29 to 507 of the family's 1533-position model. The record is from RNAcentral.